GACGUAGGGCGCGAGCGUUGUCCGGAUUUAUUGGGCGUAAAGAGCUCGUAGGCGGCUCAUUGCGUCAACCGUGAAAACCAGCAGCUCAACUGUUGGCUUGCGGUUGAUACGGGUGGGCUGGAGUUCGGUAGGGGAGACUGGAAUUCCUGGUGUAGCGGUGAAAUGCGCAGAUAUCAGGAGGAACACCAGUGGCGAAGGCGGCGCUCUGGGCCGUGACUGACGCUGAGGAGCGAAAGCGUGGGGAGCAAACAGG
Molecule: ribosomal RNA, 253 nt
Filed under: uncultured bacterium
Lineage: Bacteria
Description: partial 16S ribosomal RNA
Rfam family: Bacterial small subunit ribosomal RNA
Source: RNAcentral